RNAcentral lists this ribosomal RNA (253 nucleotides) under uncultured bacterium. RNAcentral describes it as "partial 16S ribosomal RNA". It matches the Rfam family "Bacterial small subunit ribosomal RNA", at positions 524 to 776 of the family's 1533-position model. The record is from RNAcentral.
GACGAACCGUGCGAACGUUGUUCGGAAUCACUGGGCUUAAAGGGCGCGUAGGCGGCUUGCCAAGUCCGGGGUGAAAUCCUCCAGCUUAACUGGAGAAGUGCCUUGGAUACUGGCGAGCUCGAGCGAGGCAGGGGUGAUGGGAACUUCCGGUGGAGCGGUGAAAUGCGUAGAUAUCAAGAGGAACACCUGCGGCGAAGGCGGGUUGCUGGGCCGACACUGACGCUGAGGCGCGAAAGCCAGGGGAGCGAACGGG